Molecule: ribosomal RNA, 216 nt
Filed under: Glomeromycotina sp.
Lineage: Eukaryota; Fungi; Glomeromycota
Description: partial small subunit ribosomal RNA
Rfam family: Eukaryotic small subunit ribosomal RNA (bases 40-216)
Source: RNAcentral
GGGUCAGUAGGUUGGUCGUGCCACCGGUACGUACUGGUCUCACUGAUUCCUCCUUCCUGAAGAACCGUAAUGCCAUUAAUUUUGUGUUGCGGGGAAACAGGACUGUUACUUUGAAAAAAUUAGAGUGUUUAAAGCAAGCUAACGCUUGAAUGCAUUAGCAUGGAAUAAUGAAAUAGGACGAUCGAUCCUAUUUUGUUGGUUUCUAGGAUUGACGUA